RNAcentral lists this ribosomal RNA (332 nucleotides) under Eutreptiella gymnastica. RNAcentral describes it as "partial Eukaryotic large subunit ribosomal RNA". It matches the Rfam family "Eukaryotic large subunit ribosomal RNA", at positions 1264 to 1554 of the family's 3401-position model. The record is from RNAcentral. Lineage: Eukaryota; Euglenozoa; Euglenophyceae; Eutreptiales; Eutreptiaceae.
AAACCCGCUGAGGAGUGUGUAACAACUCACCUGCCGAAGCGAGCAGCUCCGAAAAUGGAUGACGCCCAAGCCAGCGCACCGCCCUCGCCUCACAGCACGCCGCCGUCGCGGCAGCAGGGCAGGGCGCCGGCGCGUAAGGGGACGCGGGGGCCUGCGGUGUCGCUCUUGGGGUGACCCAGAGCGAAGCGCCCUCCGGCGCAGAUCUUGGUUGUAGUAGCGAAUACUCAAUCGGGGUGCGAGCGGCCCCCCCGCCGUGUUUGGUUGAGGACUGGAGUGGAGCAGGUUUCCGUGCCAACAGUCGUUGAACGCGGGUCAGUCGAUUGCGAGCCAAG